CUUUAAUGGGCAAUACGAUUCAUCUGGAUGGACGGCGCUUUUGCUGUGUCUGGGCAGCGGAGGACGCCUGCCCGUGGGUUCCUGGGAGGUAGGAGCCCCACACCCUUCGCGUCACGGUGAAGAAGCGCUGUAUCCCCAGUGGAAAUGUCUCCUCAGAAAUCGGAGGUGUUCCUGAAGAGCAGUGGGCGCCUCCAGCUGCACCUGCACGGCCAGGAUGACUUUCCUUCCCUCCUUUCGCUUUCCACCUGCUCUGUUGGAAAGGAUGUCACCGCCUCCGGUGCUGCCACCACUCCCCUGGCUCCACAUCGCCCUCCAAGGUCCUGUGCACCCACCUUCAGAUGCACAGCUGGCUGGAUCUCUCCGUGGUCCUGAUGUGCUGGGCUCAGGUGCUUUCGUGCAGUGAUGGGUGUCCCGUUUGUUGGAAAUUAAAGGGGAGAAAGAAAGGAAUGACUUAGACAGCCGUGACGCUGCUGUCACUCCGGUUGUACAAUCUUAAGAGUCUCUAGAGGUGCAUGUGCUUCUAGUCGGGGGACACAGCAUGUCACAAGCCUGGAAGACAAGGUCUCUGUACCAUUCACUUCAGUGUCCUGGGACCACGUGGGUCCUGGCCCAUCGUAGGACCUCAACACAUGCGCGCAGACUGAUGAAAUGCUCCAGGUGAAACACGACUCGCAAAGAUCUUACCAAGGGUGUGAAAGGAGGUAGCUCACAAUAACAUCCUAUCUUCCGUCCCUCAAGUGACUCACUCCCAGUGCCACACUGUAGUCACCGAGUCCAUUGGACAGGAUCAAGUUUGGCUCAGAGAUGGAGACAACGCUGUCACUGGAAGGAACUGCCUGCGACCACCUUAGCUUUGAUCUUGAAAGGUUCCUGAACCAGUCUUGCCUCGCUGCUCCAUUCCUUGAUCCUCGAAACAGGACAAAGGCUCACUGCUUUGUCCCCAGAAUCCAGUGAAAAGGAGAAAAUACACCCCCCCAUCACAGUU
Molecule: long non-coding RNA, 985 nt
Filed under: Sus scrofa (pig)
Lineage: Eukaryota; Metazoa; Chordata; Mammalia; Artiodactyla; Suidae
Description: lncRNA (ENSSSCG00000043543.1)
Source: RNAcentral